GCAUAAUCAUUUGCCUCUUAAUUAGAGGCUGGAAUGAAGGGAUAUACGAAAUUAAAUCUGUCUCUGUGUUAUUUAUAUAAAUUGUCUUUUAGGUGAAGAGACUUAAAUUUUAAUGAAAGACAAAAAGACCCUAUUGAGCUUUAUUUUUAUAAGGAUUUUUUGAGUGAUUUACUUUUUUACUUUAAUAAAUUUGGUUGGGGCGACAAAGGAAUAUAUAAAUCUUCCUUAUAUAUAAAGAAUUUUAUUCUUUUAAGAGAUCUAUUUAUAUCAAAAGAAGAAAUAGUUACCAUAGGGAUAACAGGCUAAUCUCCUCGGAGAGUUCAAAUUGAUGAGGGGGGUUGGCACCUCGAUGUUGGCUUAGGGUAUCCUAGGGAUGUAGCAGUCUCUAAGGGUUGGUUUGUUCAACCAUUAAAACCUUA
Molecule: ribosomal RNA, 419 nt
Filed under: Eulalia tjalfiensis
Lineage: Eukaryota; Metazoa; Annelida; Polychaeta; Phyllodocida; Phyllodocidae
Description: partial 16S ribosomal RNA
Rfam family: Bacterial large subunit ribosomal RNA
Source: RNAcentral